Molecule: RNA transcript, 1784 nt
Organism: Nymphaea colorata (pocket water lily)
Lineage: Eukaryota; Viridiplantae; Streptophyta; Magnoliopsida; Nymphaeales; Nymphaeaceae
Gene name: probable polygalacturonase
Exons: 4
Source: RefSeq, a predicted model, not a curated record
CACCAGCUACGCUAUAAUUUAUAAUAUAGUUUAUAGAUGGCUUUGCUUUGCUCACCAUGGAUUAUGGAAUCGCUGCUUUUAUUUCUUUCGACCUCGUUAAGAGGCUCGUGAUGUUCUUCUUCUCUCUGCAAGCGAUGCAUCGCCGUCCAUUUUUCCUUAUCUUCCUCCUCAUCGUGUGGCUAUCCGCUGCAGAUCCUCAGCACGAAGCGCCGCCUUCGCAGGCGCCCACUGUCCCCGACCGGUGGAAGCUCCACGGUCGGCCCUUCAACGUCGUCGACUACGGGGCCGCCGGAGAUGGCCGGCGGUACGACACAAAGGCCAUCCAGGCCGCCGUUGACGCCUGCACAGCUGCCGGGGGCGGCCGUGUCGUCCUUCCGUCUCCGGGGAGGUACCUCACGGGUACGAUCUUCCUCCGAUCGGGCGUCUUUCUGGUGGUGGAGAAGGGCGCCAGGUUGCUCGGCAGCCCUUCGCAGCUUAAGUACCCGAGGGAUCAGCGGCGGUGGUACGUCGUGCUAGCGGAGAGAGCCACGGACGUCGGGAUCACCGGCGGGGGGGUGAUCGACGGUCAGGGGGAGAAGUUCGUGGAGAGGUACGACGAACGGAAGAACGUGAUGGUGAGCUGGAACGCGACGGGCAGCUGCUGGGGGGACGAGUGCCGGCCCAGGCUCGUCGGGUUCGUCGAUUGCCGGAACAUCCGCGUCUGGGACGUCCGAUUGACUCAGCCCGCCUAUUGGUGUUUGCACAUCGUUAGGUCCAAUAACACAUUGAUUCAUGAUGUAGCCAUAGAUGGCGACUUCAAUACUCCUAACAAUGAUGGUAUAGACAUAGAAGAUUCAAAUAAUACAAUCAUCACUAGAUGCAGUAUUGAUACAGGAGAUGAUGCAAUCUGUCCAAAAUCAUCUUCGGGACCAGUAUAUAAUUUGACAGCAACUCAGUGCUGGAUACGGACCAAAUCUUCUGCAAUAAAGCUGGGCAGUGCUAGCUGGUUUAAUUUUAAGAACUUUUUAUUUGACAAUAUUACUAUUGUUGAAUCUCAUAGGGGGCUUGCAUUUCAGAUACGUGAUGGAGGAAAUGCCAGUGAUAUAGUUUUCUCAAACAUAAAAAUUGAGACUCGAUAUUAUCACCGUUCAUGGUGGGGAAGAGCAGAACCUAUUUAUAUUACUUCUUGUCCUCGGCAUCAACAUUCAAAAGCUGGUUCAAUCUCCAAUAUUAAGUUUAUCAAUGUCUCAGCAGUUUCAGAGAAUGGAGCCUUUUUAUCCGGAUCUGCAAAAGGGCUGUUAAGUGACAUUGAGUUCAUAAAUGUGAACUUAACAUUUAGAAGGUGGACAAAUUUUGAUGGUGGAAUUGUUGAUUAUAGACCUGGAUGUCAAGGGCUGGUCAAACAUGGAAUAGCCGGGAUCAUCAUGGAACACAUCUCAGGUUUGGUCACGGAAAAUUUAAAGAUGGAUUGGGCCCAGGAAAGCACACCAGGGUGGAACACCCCUCUUGAUUUCACUCCUUCGACCGUGAAUAAUAUACACUUGACAGAUUUCCAGUCAACAGUUUUAUGAAUGGAAAUUAUUUCAAUGCUGAAACUGGCAUAAAUUUAUCAUUGGAAAUUUGUUCAGGUUGUCUUGCUUGCAACUUGAUGAUUGGACAGGUGAAAUGAAUAAUAUACUGCAGAAAGAGCAAUUGAUCUGUCCAAUAUGGGCUGCAGUAGCACAAGCUUCCUAUUCCUCCACGGUGGUUACAAGUUUAGAAUAUCGAUUUCUUUCUUAGUUUUCAGUAGGUUUUCAUAUUCUUUA